UAUUUCAAUUGGCUUUAAAGGGGUCAUAGGAUGCCCAUUUUCCAAGUUGAUAUGAUUCUUUAGGGUCUUAAUGAAAAGUCUAUAACAUAAAAUUUCUCAGUGGUAGUGUAAAAAACACCUUUUUUACCCUGUCAAAAACAGCUCUUUUCAGAGCAUGCAGUUUUGUUGCAUUUUCCUUUAAAUGUUAAUGAGCUCUGCUCUGCUCUCUUCCACUGCUCUCUGAGGGAACGUUAGCACAUUCAUCAUGAAACUUGCUUAUUAGCACAUUAUUAGGAAAGGCGAUUUGCAAAGAUUCAUUUAAAAAAAAAAAACAACAACAACACUCACUUCUUCUGUAGGUGAAGCUGGAUCACAAAAGAAUUGCGCGAACAUUUAUGUAGCUCUGUGGCGCAUUCUCUUCAAAAACAAAUGUAAUUCACUGUGUCAUCAGCGGCUUACAUGUCAAGAGUAAAUGACGACUGCUAUGUUCAUUAUUACAUCCAACAACAGAACACGUCAAUCACUUAGGAGUCAUUCUUGUCUACAUCUGCUCCGGCGGUGAAACAAUGGCGGACCGAUAACAGCUCACUCAGGGCGGGUCCAAGGGAAAUGUCAUCAAAACAAUUUGCUGAAACCUGAAGAAGAAGCAUCUGCGAUAUGAGAUAUGGGGAAAGAAACAUCAACACCAGUUCCACGCUAAAAAACAAUGGUGGAGAAACAAUUUUUACUCAGAAAUUAAUAGUAAGUAUCACAAUAAUUUUUUAUGAAGAAAUGUCAAGUAAACAUUGAAUUAAACAUAAAAAUGUGAAGUGUUUUCUUGUAAAACAUACUCCAGUAAUCUUCAAAUCAAACUUCGAAAAAAUUAUUUUUACAGUGAAUGUUCUACGGUCUUUAAUUUCACUCUAUUUUUUCCUCCUCACUUGAGGAUUGUUCAGCAUCUGAGAGUAAAGCAGGCCACUUUCCUAACACCCAACUGUCUGCAGGACCUUUUUAACAUCUUAAAACUGACAAGGACUGUCGGCUGGCUCCUCACCCCUGACCCCUUUGACGACGCCUGACUGCAUCUUAUUUUAGAUAUAGCAAGGCUUAUGUUAAGCUGCUCCUGUGCUCCUGUCUUAUUCAGGAGCUUCAGGAAUGCACAGUUUUCACAGGUAUAGAGCUUGUAUUUACAUGCCAGCAGUGGCCUGUUAUGGUUUCCCUGUACCCCAAAAAUGGAAAUAGUUUUUCUCUCAAAGUGAGGGUGAGCUGGGGCUAAUUGCUUCAAGGAAAUUUACACUGAGGUCUGUAUUAUAUUAUAAAAGUCAAACUAGAUAAAGUUUGUAAAGACGUGAAAAAGUUGUAAAAGCUUGAAGAUUGAAACAGUUGUAAAUUUUAAAUUUUAG
Long non-coding RNA from Cyprinus carpio (common carp), 1361 nucleotides. NCBI's taxonomy places the organism in Eukaryota, Metazoa, Chordata, Actinopteri, Cypriniformes, Cyprinidae. The record is from Ensembl.